CCCCUCUCAGGAUUGCAUCUGGAGACUUUCUAGUACUCUACCAGUCUUGGCUACGGGAGGGAGAGUCAAGCAGAGGCAAACCCAUUUCAUUCCUAGCUUGGGCAGUGGCCAGGGAAUGAAAGGCAACCUGCUACAAGU
Tachyglossus aculeatus (Australian echidna) is the source of this 138-nucleotide small nucleolar RNA. NCBI's taxonomy places the organism in Eukaryota, Metazoa, Chordata, Mammalia, Monotremata, Tachyglossidae. The record is from RefSeq and is a predicted model, not a curated record.